This 442-nucleotide ribosomal RNA is filed under the name uncultured bacterium. RNAcentral's name for it is "bacterial SSU rRNA". It matches the Rfam family "Bacterial small subunit ribosomal RNA", at positions 355 to 796 of the family's 1533-position model. The record is from RNAcentral.
UGGGGAAUCUUGCACAAUGGGCGAAAGCCUGAUGCAGCGACGCCGCGUGGGGGAUGAAGCAUUUCGGUGUGUAAACCCCUUUCGACUGGGAAGAAUGUCCGCUUUCGGGCGGAAGUGACGGUACCAGUAGAAGAAGCCCCGGCUAACUACGUGCCAGCAGCCGCGGUAAGACGUAGGGGGCCAGCGUUGUUCGGAAUUACUGGGUGUAAAGGGUUCGUAGGCGGUGCGGCAAGUUGGGAGUGAAAUCUCUGGGCUCAACCCAGAGGCUGCUUCCAAAACUGCUGUGCUCGAGUGUGAGAGAGGCUCGUGGAAUUGCAGGUGUAGCGGUGAAAUGCGUAGAUAUCUGCAGGAACACCCGUGGCGAAAGCGGCGAGCUGGAUCACUACUGACGCUGAGGAACGAAAGCUAGGGGAGCAAACAGGAUUAGAUACCCCCGUAGUCC